UACGAAGGGGGCUAGCGUUGCUCGGAAUCACUGGGCGUAAAGCGCACGUAGGCGGAUUGUUAAGUCAGGGGUGAAAUCCUGGAGCUCAACUCCAGAACUGCCUUUGAUACUGGCGAUCUUGAGUCCGGGAGAGGUGAGUGGAACUCCGAGUGUAGAGGUGGAAUUCGUAGAUAUUCGGAAGAACACCAGUGGCGAAGGCGGCUCACUGGCCCGGUACUGACGCUGAUGUGCGAAAGCGUGGGGAGCAAACAGG
This 253-nucleotide ribosomal RNA is filed under the name uncultured bacterium. Its description in RNAcentral is "partial 16S ribosomal RNA". It matches the Rfam family "Bacterial small subunit ribosomal RNA", at positions 524 to 776 of the family's 1533-position model. The record is from RNAcentral.